CGGAAUUGAUAAGCGCUGAAAGCAUCUAAGCGCGAAGCGAGCCCUGAGAUGAGUCUUCCCUGACAGUUUAACUGUCCUAAAGGGUUGUUCGAGACUAGAACGUUGAUAGGCAGGGUGUGUAAGCGUUGUGAGGCGUUGAGCUAACCUGUACUAAUUGCCCGUGAGGCUUAACCAUACAACACCCAAGGGGUUUUGUA
Molecule: ribosomal RNA, 197 nt
Filed under: Vibrio cholerae
Lineage: Bacteria; Pseudomonadati; Pseudomonadota; Gammaproteobacteria; Vibrionales; Vibrionaceae
Description: partial 23S ribosomal RNA
Rfam family: Bacterial large subunit ribosomal RNA (bases 1-175)
Source: RNAcentral